CCUACGGGAGGCAGCAGUGAGGAAUAUUGGUCAAUGGACGGAAGUCUGAACCAGCCAUGCCGCGUGCAGGAAGACGGCCCUAUGAGUUGUAAACUGCUUUUGUACAAGGGUAAACCUGAAUACGUGUAUUCAGCUGAAAGUACUGUACGAAUAAGGAACGGCUAAGCCCGGGCCAGCAGGCGCGGUGAGAUGGUGGGUGGGAGCGUUGAUCGGAAUUACUGGGCGAAAAGCGCUGGGUGGGGGUACGUCGAGUCAAGGGUGAAAUCCCCGCGGCCGACGUGGGAACUGCCUUUGAAACUGGCAAACUUGAGUGUGUGAGAGGAUAGUGGAAUUCCAGGUGUAGGAGUGAAAUCCGUAGAUAUCUGGAGGAACAUCAGUGGCGAAGGCGACUAUCUGGCACAUAACUGACGCUGAGGAGCGAAAGCGUGGGUAGCAAACAGGAUUAGAUACCCUUGUAGUC
This 460-nucleotide ribosomal RNA is filed under the name uncultured bacterium. RNAcentral's name for it is "partial 16S ribosomal RNA". It matches the Rfam family "Bacterial small subunit ribosomal RNA", at positions 338 to 795 of the family's 1533-position model. The record is from RNAcentral.